GAUGAAGAACGUAGCGAAAUGCGAUAAGUAAUGUGAAUUGCAGAAUUCAGUGAAUCAUCGAAUCUUUGAACGCACCUUGCACCCUUUGGCAUUCCGAAGGGUAUGCUCGUUUGAGUGUCAUUGUACUCUCACACUCUCCGAUCCUAUGGAUUCGGGGAGCGGUGGACUUGGGUGUUGCUGCCUUUCCCUGUGGCUCACCUCAAAUGCGUCAGUGCACCUCUUGGUUGGACAUAGUACGGCGUGAUAAGUGUCUUCGCCGGCACCUCGCAAGAGGGUGGCCGAUCGGGAGCUCUGCGCUUUCAAACCGUCUUCGGACAAUCUCUGACGACUUGACCUCAAAUCGAGUAAGACUACCCGCUGAACUUAAGCAUAUCAAUAAGCGGAGGA
Molecule: unclassified non-coding RNA, 387 nt
Filed under: soil metagenome
Description: partial contains 5.8S ribosomal RNA, internal transcribed spacer 2, and large subunit ribosomal RNA
Rfam family: 5.8S ribosomal RNA (bases 1-120)
Source: RNAcentral